RNAcentral lists this ribosomal RNA (376 nucleotides) under uncultured bacterium. RNAcentral's name for it is "bacterial SSU rRNA". It matches the Rfam family "Bacterial small subunit ribosomal RNA", at positions 524 to 898 of the family's 1533-position model. The record is from RNAcentral.
UACGUAGGGGGCAAGCGUUGUCCGGAAUUAUUGGGCGUAAAGAGCGCGCAGGCGGCUAUUUAAGUCUACCGUGAAAGCUUACGGCUCAACCGUAACGGGCCGGUGGAUACUGGAUGGCUUGAGGGCAGGAGAGGAAAGUGGAAUUCCCAGUGUAGCGGUGAAAUGCGUAGAGAUUGGGAGGAACACCAGUGGCGAAGGCGACUUUCUGGACUGUUACUGACGCUGAGGCGCGAAAGCUGGGGGAGUGAACGGGAUUAGAUACCCCGGUAAUCCCAGCCGUAAACGAUGGGUACUAGGUGUAGGAGGUAUCGACCCCUUCUGUGCCGGAGUUAACGCAAUAAGUACCCCGCCUGGGGAGUACGGUCGCAAGACUGAA